UACGUAGGGGGCGAGCGUUGUCCGGAAUGAUUGGGCGUAAAGGGCGCGUAGGCGGCCUGUUAAGUCUGGAGUGAAAGUCCUGCCUUCAAGGUGGGAAUUGCUUUGGAUACUGGCGGGCUUGAGUGCAGGAGAGGUUAUCGGAAUUCCCGGUGUAGCGGUGAAAUGCGUAGAGAUCGGGAGGAACACCAGUGGCGAAGGCGGGUAACUGGACUGCAACUGACGCUGAGGCGCGAAAGUGUGGGGAGCAAACAGG
This 253-nucleotide ribosomal RNA is filed under the name uncultured bacterium. RNAcentral's name for it is "partial 16S ribosomal RNA". It matches the Rfam family "Bacterial small subunit ribosomal RNA", at positions 524 to 776 of the family's 1533-position model. RNAcentral also lists the same sequence under 1 other name. The record is from RNAcentral.